UGGGGAAUAUUGCACAAUGGGCGCAAGCCUGAUGCAGCCAUGCCGCGUGUAUGAAGAAGGCCUUCGGGUUGUAAAGUACUUUCAGCGGGGAGGAAGGGAGUAAAGUUAAUACCUUUGCUCAUUGACGUUACCCGCAGAAGAAGCACCGGCUAACUCCGUGCCAGCAGCCGCGGUAAUACGGAGGGUGCAAGCGUUAAUCGGAAUUACUGGGCGUAAAGCGCACGCAGGCGGUUGAUUGAGUCAGAUGUGAAAUCCCCGGGCUUAACCCGGGAAUUGCAUCUGAUACUGGUCAGCUAGAGUCUUGUAGAGGGGGGUAGAAUUCCAUGUGUAGCGGUGAAAUGCGUAGAGAUGUGGAGGAAUACCGGUGGCGAAGGCGGCCCCCUGGACGAAGACUGACGCUCAGGUGCGAAAGCGUGGGGAGCAAACAGG
RNAcentral lists this ribosomal RNA (429 nucleotides) under Chloroflexota bacterium. Its description in RNAcentral is "Chloroflexi bacterium partial 16S ribosomal RNA". It matches the Rfam family "Bacterial small subunit ribosomal RNA", at positions 355 to 776 of the family's 1533-position model. The record is from RNAcentral. Lineage: Bacteria; Bacillati; Chloroflexota.